UCCAAGACCUCACUCCGCCACAGUGACAUCAAUAAAACAACCAGGAUCUGCCUGAAUGAGCUGGGGUUCUAGCCCAGGGAACCCCAGAAGUGGCAACAAUGGGCUUUCUGAUCCCACCAUUGGCAGCCCUGGUCCAGAUGCAAAUGUUCAGCUGUCUCCUUGGCUCCUACCUGCAAUGACAUGGGUUGUCUUUUCCUUGGGAAAGCACCUCUAGACUCAUGGAGAGAAGAGCGGCACACGUGUAGGGGGGGCAGAGAUAAUUGGAGCAAGCAAGUGAAUUGCUAAGGUCUCCUGAUAAGGAGGAAAGGAUGUCCGUGCACGACGUCGUCCUCCGUGUGUCACGAUCCGUCGGUCCGUCCUCGCCGGCUUGGGGCCCCGGGUCCAUCCCGUUGCAGUCGAGGCAGUGGGGCUGCUCACCGAGGGCCACUUCAGUUUCUCCGUGUUCCACGCGAGGCGGUCAUGGGGGCGAAUCUUACCCGAGGCAAGGGCACGGGAUGCGUAUCAAGAGACGAGAUCCACCCGGCAGAUUGAACCGGCGUCUACGCGGGGAGCUCCCAUCCCCACUCCUUGGUCACCUCGUCAGCUUGGCGCUUGCGUUUGUGCAGGGCCGUUUAACGCGGACAGUCGAGGGCAAGCGUGGAGGGCGCUAGUGGAGGGGCGGCAGUCCCUCCUAGGCUUCAGUGGUCGUAGGUCGUAGUCGUUUCUUUGGGAAACAGGGACCGCCCGGGGCAUCCGUUGAUGGUCGUGAGCAGACACGAGCCUGGCCGCGGUCCUGGGUGUGCGCGGUUGUCGGUAGCUUCUCUGAAGAAGCUCUGCAGACAGGGAACGGCGUAAAGACGCGCGGGCGGACGGGAGGAUCCCCCAGGGCGAGAAAUGGGACCGAUGGUGGCAUGGGUCGAGGACGGGUGUCUGGGGCGUGGCGGUGAGCCUUCGCCGGUGUGCGAUCUGGAUCCUUCCUGUUGAGGUUCACACCAGUUGCUCGUCACGUGGCGUCUGCAGCGGCGAGGUCGACCAGAUGGCCGGAUUUCGGUAUUUGGGAGGAUCUGAUUGAUUGAAGAUGAUGAAGGAGGGUUUUGGGAUGCAGAAUUUUCUAAAUCCACCUGGAAGUCUGGGAACCUCUCCCUCCAGCCACAAGGCCCUGCCCCACACCCUGCAGCAACCAAUCUGGAAAACCAGACUUCAACCUCUGCAACAAUAGGCCCCAAGUGUCAGGACUUGGUCAGUGACUCACAGUUUCGUCAUUUUCAGUCCUUUCCAUGUAGAACCAAAUGCGGGGAAAGCCAAAUAUGUUCCCCUAAGUAAUCACUUAGGAUGCCCCUCUUCCUAACAGCUUGUCUCCAGCCUCCCCCAUCACAAGCUCUGGGAAGGACAUGCCUUCCUCUUUUUGCUACCAGAAAGUGUCCCCACUCUUAUGUGUGCCUGACUCUCAGCCUGAUGUGAGUGGCGGUGGCUGACUCCCGUGCUCUAUAGAUAAGUUCUGAGUAAAUAGUGCUUGUUCUCAUUUGGGGGGGGGGGCGGUGUGUGUGUCUUUGUUCAUAUCACAGAGCUUAGUAGGGCAGGAAGCAAAUAAAACUCAUUAUAAUGUUCCCCAUGUUAUUUUAAAAAUCACAUUUAUUAAUCACUAUUUUUUAAGUUGUGACACAAUUCACGUACCAUAAAAUUCACCCUUUGAAAAGUGUAGAAUUUAGUGAUUUAUAAUCUAUUCACAAAGUUGUGCAACCAUUGGCACUAAUACCAGAACAUUUCAUCACCUCAAAAAGAAACCCCAUCCCAAUUAGUCCCUUCUAUUCCACCUAUGCUCAGGCCGUGGCUACCACAAAUCUGCUUUCUUUCUCUACGGAUAUGCCUAUUCUGAAUAUUUCAUGUGACUGGAAUCAUACAAUAUGUGCCCUUUAUGUCUGGCUUCUUAUACUGAAUAUCAUGCUUUUGAGGCUCAUGUUUUAGAAUGUAUCAGUAAUCUACUCCUUCGUUUGGCCUAAGAAUUUUUCUUUUUAAGCCAUUAGAUUUUACGUACAUUCACAUGCCACCAGGGUUUUUUGUUUUUUGUUCUUUGGUGUUUUUUUUGUAAAAAAUAUAUUUUCCAUUUUAACCAUUUAAAGUCUGCAGUUGACUAACAUUAAGUACCGCUUCCCUGCCUGACCCCAACUUACCCCAUCCACCUGGAGCUGCCAGUAGGCCCAGAGGACACAAGCCCAGCCAUGUUGCCCUUCCUUGGAACUCCCAACGUCAUCCAACCUGACCAUGACACCACUAUUAGUGCCCCUCAUUGUAGCAAAAAUAACUCUGGCCACGGAGAGACUCUAGUGAAGAGGGCAGCUGCCCCCAGGCAAGUUGUUGUGCUUGGGACAAGGAAGCAGUGUCCUGGGACCUGCAGUCUCCCAGGGGCCCCAUGAGGUACAGUGCUGGUCUCCUGAGGGCGUAUUCUGCUGAGGUCCCCGCCAGGACCCUAUGGAGGAGAACCAGUGAUCACUUGGGGACAUCUCUUGUCAUUCUUUUCUUCCUUCCUUCCUUUCUUUCUCUUUUUCUCUUUCCACCCGGAAGAGGUAAAGCUUGGCAAGAAAAAAAUAAAUGACUUUCU
Eubalaena glacialis (North Atlantic right whale) is the source of this 2578-nucleotide long non-coding RNA. RefSeq lists it as uncharacterized. The transcript is spliced from 4 exons. The record is from RefSeq and is a predicted model, not a curated record. Lineage: Eukaryota; Metazoa; Chordata; Mammalia; Artiodactyla; Balaenidae.